AGUGAGAAUAGAGGUGCAAAAACCAUUAGUACAUAUUCAGAGGUCGAAGGAACCUGUGAUGUUUAUGGAAAGGGGAAUUUGCCGAAGUGAUAAAAGAUUACCUUCGAUUUUAUCACUGGUCCAUCAUUGAAAAAAUGUCGGGCUGUCAUAUAGUGUUGUGCUAUAUGGAGGGCUAUCUCACGC
Molecule: non-coding RNA, 183 nt
Filed under: Gracilibacillus boraciitolerans
Lineage: Bacteria; Bacillati; Bacillota; Bacilli; Caryophanales; Bacillaceae
Also listed under: 1 other name
Description: Lysine sequence
Rfam family: Lysine riboswitch aptamer
About the family: Riboswitches are metabolite binding domains within certain messenger RNAs that serve as precision sensors for their corresponding targets.
Source: RNAcentral